CAGUAGCCACGGUAAAACAGAGGCCUCAAGCGUUGUUCGGAUUCAUUGGGCGUAAAGGGAGCGUAGGCGGUCGGGUAAGUUGGAUGUGAAAUCCUGGGGCUCAACCUCAGAACUGCAUUCAGUACUGCUUGGCUAGAGUAUUGGAGAGGUGAGUGGAAUUCACGGUGUAGCAGUGAAAUGCGUAGAUAUCGUGAGGAAGACCAGCGGCGAAGGCGGCUCACUGAACAAUUACUGACGCUGAUGCUCGAAGGCCAGGGGAGCAAACGGGAUUAGAGACCCCGGUAGUCCCUGUCUCUUAUAC
This 301-nucleotide ribosomal RNA is filed under the name uncultured bacterium. RNAcentral's name for it is "partial 16S ribosomal RNA". It matches the Rfam family "Bacterial small subunit ribosomal RNA", at positions 509 to 807 of the family's 1533-position model. The record is from RNAcentral.